RNAcentral lists this unclassified non-coding RNA (412 nucleotides) under Hevea brasiliensis (rubber tree). The record is from RNAcentral. Lineage: Eukaryota; Viridiplantae; Streptophyta; Magnoliopsida; Malpighiales; Euphorbiaceae.
CGAAAAUCAACCGGAGAUGGUCCGCACGAUCGUGAGCCUUCUCCUUAUUAUUCAUAAUACAUAAUACGGACACGGUGGACAAUACAUAAUACAGAUACAGUACUGAUGAUGUAGCCAAUCAUGACUCAAGCUCCAUUUCAAGGUAGUGGUAGAGAAGUCUGAACUUAGUUGCAUCUUCGGUUACACAUGCACCGGCGUCGCACGCUGCUGCAGUCGCCACCACGGUAGCCCUCGCUUAUGCAAACUUGGGCGCAGUUGCUGCUGCUAAGGCACAGCCCAUGAAACCCUCUGCUUGGAACCUUUCCACAGAAAAUAGUUCGACCUCCUUCUGCUAUUUCCGGACCAGAAGCCAGCAGCAGGAGGAGAGCGAAGACGAAGGAGAAGAUGGAUGCUUUGUUGAACUCCAUGGCUG